CUCAAAGAUUAAGCCAUGCAAGUGGUUAUAUUAACCCGACAGUUUAAAUAGGUGUUAAAUGCUACCAUUAAACUUAUCGUAUAUCACGCAUAGACCGAUUUUGUUUACGGCAGUAACAAUUUCAGCGUGUUAUCACCCAUCACAGUGAAUCACUGAAAUUUACCCUACAUUCAGUAUCACUUACGCAACUGCAGACAGCUGCUUAAUACAGUCACACUUGUCUUGACUUGGCGCAAUAAAAAUUUUCAUUGAGACACCCUCUCUCUCUCUCUCUCUUUUGCGGGACUGACUGGGCAGAUCGGUGAUCAUUUUUGUUUUGUUGCAUUCACGCAUACAAAAUUUUUUUGAUUUCUCUGUAUCGCUUAUUCUUUAAGGAUCAUUGCGUUACACCGUGACAAUUUUUUUCUUUAUGGAUAACUCAGGGAAAGUUUGGCUAAUACGUACGAGUAUAUAUUUUUUUAUUUACCCACAUACGCACACACACUCAAAUUAAUUUUUGUAUCGCUGUGUAUCAACUACUACUCAGCACUCAAUGGUAAACUUUGGCUGCGCUUGCGCGGUCAGUUUAAAGUUUAACUGCAACAUGAGAGACAUUGAGCACGCACGUGUUGUGUCUUCGGACGCUUCACAUCACGCUGAGCAGACUUUGCGAAGUUUACUUUGCGAAGCAUGUCAUACAAGCAUCUACAGCAUCAAGUCACAGGGUUGGCAAGUGUAUUUUUGAACCUUCAAAGCAGUCACGCAUACGGAAGAGUAGUUUCUGAUCCCAUAGAAGGAGCACCGUACAAUGAGAGACCGCUCUUAGUUCUAAGGAACGCAGCAGGCGCGUAAAUUGCCCAAUGCGAGUACCCUACAAUUCAAAUUGUAUUUACAUGCGUUAUCAACAAUUUACAACAUUACAUACAAGUUUUUAAUGACAGCACAUUAUAACACUUUCAUUUUAUUCUGUUAUCAUUAUACACAUAUAUCCUUGUUCACGUUGUACUUUCAGCAUAUUAUAAUAUUAAUUUAUUAUUAUUUACUGAGGCAGUGACAAGCUGUAACGGUUGAGUAUAAAAAUGACGAGUGUCUGGCAUUGCCGCUCUUUCGGGAGCUUGGCAAGUUGCCGACGCUUUGUGUGCUCAAUUGGAAUGCGGUGAGUUUAAGCAACUCAGAACCUUUGGACGGUGUUAGUAAAAUUUCACUGUUNNAUGUAUCUGAAUUUCAAGUNNUGAGGGCAAGUCUGGUGC
RNAcentral lists this ribosomal RNA (1229 nucleotides) under Cibicidoides lobatulus. RNAcentral's name for it is "SSU rRNA". The record is from RNAcentral. Lineage: Eukaryota; Foraminifera; Rotaliida; Anomalinidae.